This 1742-nucleotide long non-coding RNA is filed under the name Callithrix jacchus (white-tufted-ear marmoset). RNAcentral describes it as "lncRNA (ENSCJAG00000079140.1)". The record is from RNAcentral. Lineage: Eukaryota; Metazoa; Chordata; Mammalia; Primates; Cebidae.
CUUUGAGGUAAGGAGUGGGUGUACUAUGAUUAUCAUCAUGUUACAGAGGAGGAUACAGACCCAGAAAUAUUCUGUAACUUGCCCAAGGACACACAGCUGGAAGUUGGCAGAGUUUGGACUAAAAUUCCAUAGCCAAAGCACUCUGCAACCUCCUUUCAGCCUGGAAGCGUCAUAGGAGUUUCCAAUAGAUGGGCCUCCUAAGACUCAAAGAACUGUUAGAACUGUGAGAAAUCCCAAACAGAACGAAAUUCCGACCUAAUGGAGCCGAAGAAUCAGCAGGAGCCCAAGUUCUAGUUUGCUGGGACAAGGAGGAAAUUCUGUAAAAACUCAAUGCCUUAUGCAAGGUCAAAUAAUUAAUGUCUUCCAGCAGUUUCCAUCCUCUGAGAAGGGCCCAACCUGCAUGCCACCGUGUCCCUUCAAGUGCAGGCAGUCUGGGAACGCAGGAUAAUGGAUCCUUGAGCGUGGCUAAUACUUGAUGGAAAAGAAUCUUUCUCUUCUGGGGCUACAAUGUAAUUUCAUACUAAAUUUACUGUGGUUUAUAUAAUUCUUUUCAUUCACAGCAGAAGGAGGUUCUUUGCUGCUUCCCUUUUCAGAAACUUGGAGACCAUAUAUCUUUGCAAAGUAGAUUUUUAAAAAUAAAACAAAGAAGAAAAGAUUAAACCAGAGAAGCUCCCAAGUUUUCUGCCUUCUGCCUGGACCAGCUUCCUGUGCUUCUUCCUUUCCAAAAUUGAUGUGGUAAAUGUUAUUGCAGUAGCCCUGGCUCACAAAAGCCCAGGCCUUCCAAGAAUGCAACCUUCAUGGAGAAAUUCUGCGACUCGUUCUCCUCUGUGGAGGCUGGAGAGUUAAGAUGUAGAAGGAGAGAGACAAAGAGACAAGGAGAAAUUUGCUUUAUUAGUGGCUUUCAAGAGAAUGAGGCCAGAAGACAGAGUCCUGGACCUUAUCCACUUCAUCAUGAGAUGACAAUGCAAGAAGUCCCUUCCCAGGUGCUGGCAUCUUGAUCCUGGACUUCCCAGCCUCCAGAACUGUGAGAAACAAAUUUCUGUUUAUUAUAAAUUACCAUGUCUAUAGUAUUCUGUUAUAGCAGCACAAAGUGGACUAAGACAUCAUUCAAAAAAAUUUUAAGUACCUACUGAUGAUAGGGAGUGUGCUUAGGAAAUACAAACAUGAAUAUAACAUAGCUCCUCCUGUCACAGAAUUUACAGAUCAGGGGAGAAAAUAGACACGUUUUCCUACGAGAUAACUGAUGACAGUGUAUUUUUGUUAGUAGCAAUUGCUAUAGCAAAUUCUAAGAGAAAUAGCUUUGCUAAUCUGGAUUCACAGAAAACUAACGUGUGCAAAACAUCAGAUAAUGAUUCUGUCAUAGUCCACCUGACUUCCCUUUUGUACUGGUUACUGGGAAGGUCAGAACUGAAGGUGAGGUUCAACUCUAGUUGUUUUUAAUGUCUCCUCUCUUUUUCUCCAACAUGAUUUUCCAUUUUCUAGUUCUAAUGUUAAAUUCAAACUGCAAAAGGCAUUGUAUUUGGCAUAAGUUGGGGUAAUAUCAUGAAUAAAAUGUGUGCUAUUUAGAUCAAUACAAAUGGAAAGUACAGUUGUAGAUCAAUUAGAAUCGUCCCAUUCUUGUUUUUGUGCUUGGGACGGCACCUGCUGAGAACACGUCUUUACUACAACCACUAUUACAACUACCACUGUUUAUGCUACUGCUAGUAAUAACCACAGCAGAAUGUCUGAGCCUAGUAUACCAG